RNAcentral lists this long non-coding RNA (349 nucleotides) under Gossypium barbadense (sea-island cotton). RNAcentral's name for it is "long non-coding RNA (GBAR_LNC001637)". The record is from RNAcentral. Lineage: Eukaryota; Viridiplantae; Streptophyta; Magnoliopsida; Malvales; Malvaceae.
UGAGGAUCAACUUGCAGACAUUUUGACUAAAGCCCUUAAUGUCACAAGGUUCGAAUGUCUAAGAAGGAAGCUAGGUGUUUGCUCCAUGCAAACCAAGGAGGAGUAUUGAAGCAAUGGUUAGCAUGUAGCAAUCACAUGUUUUAUUAUUAUUAUUAUUAUUAUUAUUAUUAUUAUUUGGAUGUAAUGAUGUAACUUAGUUGUAUUCCAACUAAGUUUGUUAGUGGUAGUAGGUGGUGAUUUAUUUUAAGUGGAUGUAAUGAUGAAACUUAGUUGUAUUCCAACUAAGUUUGUUAGUGGUAAUAGGUGGUGAUUUAUUUUAAGUGGAUGUAAUGAUGAAACUUAGUUGUAU